RNAcentral lists this transfer RNA (65 nucleotides) under Cavia porcellus (domestic guinea pig). It matches the Rfam family "tRNA". From Rfam's summary of the family: Transfer RNA (tRNA) molecules are approximately 80 nucleotides in length. Their secondary structure includes four short double-helical elements and three loops (D, anti-codon, and T loops). Further hydrogen bonds mediate the characteristic L-shaped molecular structure. tRNAs have two regions of fundamental functional importance: the anti-codon, which is responsible for specific mRNA codon recognition, and the 3' end, to which the tRNAs corresponding amino acid is attached (by aminoacyl-tRNA synthetases). tRNAs cope with the degeneracy of the genetic code in two manners: having more than one tRNA (with a specific anti-codon) for a particular amino acid; and 'wobble' base-pairing, i.e. permitting non-standard base-pairing at the 3rd anti-codon position. Lineage: Eukaryota; Metazoa; Chordata; Mammalia; Rodentia; Caviidae. The record is from Rfam by way of RNAcentral.
GGGGAUUUAGCUCAGCGGCAUAAGCGCCUGCCUUGCAAGCAGGCAGUCAUGAGUUCCAAUCCCUG